This 613-nucleotide ribosomal RNA is filed under the name Cryptococcus sp. AtNov07DNX-Y18. RNAcentral's name for it is "LSU rRNA". It matches the Rfam family "Eukaryotic large subunit ribosomal RNA", at positions 54 to 662 of the family's 3401-position model. The record is from RNAcentral. Lineage: Eukaryota; Fungi; Basidiomycota; Tremellomycetes; Tremellales; Cryptococcaceae.
AGGAAAAGAAACUAACAAGGAUUCCCCUAGUAACGGCGAGUGAACCGGGAAGAGCUCAAAUUUGUAAUCUGGCCCUUGGGUCCGAGUUGUAAUCUAUAGAGGCGUUUUCCGUGCCGGACCGUGUCCAAGUCCCUUGGAACAGGGUAUCAAAGAGGGUGACAAUCCCGUACUUGACACGACGACCGGUGCUCUGUGAUACGUCUUCGACGAGUCGAGUUGUUUGGGAAUGCAGCUCAAAAUGGGUGGUAAAUUCCAUCUAAAGCUAAAUAUUGGCGAGAGACCGAUAGCGAACAAGUACCGUGAGGGAAAGAUGAAAAGCACUUUGGAAAGAGAGUUAAACAGUACGUGAAAUUGUUAAAAGGGAAACGAUUGAAGUCAGUCGUGUCGGUUGGAUUCAGCUCGGUCUCCGGGUGUAUUUCCUUCCGACGGGUCAACAUCAGUUUGGAUCGGUGGAUAAAGAUGGAGGGAAGGUGGCAUCCUCGGAUGUGUUAUAGCCCUCUGUUGCAUACGCUGGUCCGGACUGAGGCAUGCAGCUCGCCUUUAUGGCCGGGGUUCGCCCACGUUCGAGCUUAGGAUGUUGACGUAAUGGCUUUAAACGACCCGUCUUGAACAC